CUUUAUUUAAUUAAUUGCAAUUUCUGUCGACAGUACGGAGAGACUGGCAGAAGAUGGUACACCGUUUUCACAUACAACACCCCGGCCGAUUGCCAAUUUGUGAAUUUCACCAUAACAUCAAACAUAACCGUCGAUUUCUUUUGGAUUCGAAAAAAUUUAACUACAGGUGAAUGGAACGGUAGGUCCGAUGGCGUGGUUACGUGGACACCCGAUAACGGUACACGUAAUGGGAUUAUAAGUCUAAGAUACCCCAAUGUUCCCGACCCAUUGGUAUAUCCAAUUCUUGGAGUCGAUUAUGAUUCGUUCGUCCUGGAUUACAGAUGCCUCGAUAUAAAUAGCACAAGCAAAAUGGAAUUAAUAUGGGCCAGGAGCAGGACAACGGUUUAUACACCACAAGUAGCAGCUAAAGUAAAGCAGAUCCUUAAUAAUAACGGUCUCUCCGAUUUAGCACCGACGUAUGCCGUACAGGACCCAAAACAAUGCUUACCAUACCCUUAAAAUUUGUAUAAAAUUAAUCUGUAAUGAAUUUGUUAACAUGUGAAUAAAAUUUUUUGAAUCAA
This is a long non-coding RNA of Agrilus planipennis (emerald ash borer), 560 nucleotides long. RefSeq lists it as uncharacterized. The transcript has 2 exons. The record is from RefSeq and is a predicted model, not a curated record. NCBI's taxonomy places the organism in Eukaryota, Metazoa, Arthropoda, Insecta, Coleoptera, Buprestidae.